AGUGAACGCUGGCGGUAGGCCUAACACAUGCCAGUCGAACGGCAGCACAGUAAGAGCUUGCUCUUACGGGUGGCGAGUGGCGGACGGGUGAGGAAUACAUCGGAAUCUACUUUUUCGUGGGGGAUAACGUAGGGAAACUUACGCUAAUACCGCAUACGACCUACGGGUGAAAGCAGGGGAUCUUCGGACCUUGCGCGAUUGAAUGAGCCGAUGUCGGAUUAGCUAGUUGGCGGGGUAAAGGCCCACCAAGGCGACGAUCCGUAGCUGGUCUGAGAGGUUGAUCAGCCACACUGGAACUGAGACACGGUCCAGACUCCUACGGGAGGCAGCAGUGGGGAAUAUUGGACAAUGGGCGCAAGCCUGAUCCAGCCAUACCGCGUGGGUGAAGAAGGCCUUCGGGUUGUAAAGCCCUUUUGUUGGGAAAGAAAAGCAGCAGGUUAAUACCCCGCUGUUCUGACGGUACCCAAAGAAUAAGCACCGGCUAACUUCGUG
Molecule: ribosomal RNA, 492 nt
Filed under: uncultured bacterium
Lineage: Bacteria
Description: partial 16S ribosomal RNA
Rfam family: Bacterial small subunit ribosomal RNA
Source: RNAcentral